UCCUCGAUAGUUUAGUGGUAGAACACCAGUUUGUGGCACUGGUAACAUGGGUUCGAUUCCCAUUCGGGGAA
Non-coding RNA from Schistocerca gregaria, 71 nucleotides. The record is from the annotation of a RefSeq genome assembly. Lineage: Eukaryota; Metazoa; Arthropoda; Insecta; Orthoptera; Acrididae.